GACGAACGCUGGCGGCGUGCUUAACACAUGCAAGUCGAACGGUAAGGCCCUUCGGGGUACACGAGUGGCGAACGGGUGAGUAACACGUGGGUGAUCUGCCCUGCACUUCGGGAUAAGCCUGGGAAACUGGGUCUAAUACCGGAUAGGACCACUGCCUGCAGGGGUGGUGGUGGAAAGCUUUUGCGGUGUGGGAUGGGCCCGCGGCCUAUCAGCUUGUUGGUGGGGGGAUGGCCGACCAAGGCGACGACGGGUAGCCGGCCUGAGAGGGUGACCGGCCACACUGGGACUGAGAUACGGCCCAGACUCCUACGGGAGGCAGCAGUGGGGAAUAUUGCACAAUGGGCGCAAGCCUGAUGCAGCGACGCCGCGUGAGGGAUGACGGCCUUCGGGUUGUAAACCUCUUUCAGCACCGACGAAGCGCAAGUGACGGUAGGUGCAGAAGAAGGACCGGCCAACUACGUGCCAGCCGCCGCCGUAA
This 478-nucleotide ribosomal RNA is filed under the name uncultured bacterium. Its description in RNAcentral is "partial 16S ribosomal RNA". It matches the Rfam family "Bacterial small subunit ribosomal RNA", at positions 28 to 523 of the family's 1533-position model. The record is from RNAcentral.